GGAAUCCUCAAGUUGAUCUGCAAGCCCAAGAUCGUGCUCAUAGAAUUGGUCAGAAGAAGGAAGUUCAAGUGUUCCGGUUUUGCACUGAGUAUACCAUUGAGGAAAAAGUUAUUGAAAGGGCUUACAAGAAACUUGCCCUUGAUGCUUUGGUGAUUCAACAAGGACGCUUAGCAGAGCAGAAAACUGUCAACAAGGAUGAGCUACUUCAAA
Molecule: non-coding RNA, 210 nt
Organism: Cucurbita pepo subsp. pepo (vegetable marrow)
Lineage: Eukaryota; Viridiplantae; Streptophyta; Magnoliopsida; Cucurbitales; Cucurbitaceae
Source: RefSeq, a predicted model, not a curated record